This 458-nucleotide long non-coding RNA is filed under the name Numida meleagris (helmeted guineafowl). RNAcentral describes it as "lncRNA (ENSNMEG00000022812.1)". The record is from RNAcentral. Lineage: Eukaryota; Metazoa; Chordata; Aves; Galliformes; Numididae.
UGCUGAAAUGUUUGCAACCAGGCAGAAACAGCAAAAGCCUGUGUUUGGAAACCUGAGGACUACAGAUUGUUUCCGUGGACUUAUUGGGAUUAUAAUGAAUUAAAACACAAUAAAACAUAACCUGAUUAAGGUUAUUAAGAGGUUAUAUCAUCCUUAAGCCAUACAAAGGCUCAUGAAUAAAGGAGUGGCUGUCAGCUGAGAGGUCUACAGUAUGAUAAAAAACAUGAAAAAACCAAAAAUACUUUCCCACCUGGAAGGCAAUUUUCAGGAGGCCACAACUCCAUGAACCUGAAACUUUGACUGCUGACAAGAAGUUGCUUGAAGCAGAAGUGUUGCAAAGAAGCCGCCUUCCCCACAGCAUCGCUGCCCUGGCUGCUGUCCCCAUCUGCUCGGUGGUGCUGUGGGGCAGGCAUGCCAGCAGGCUCCGAGCAGCAGGUCCCGCGUGCUGCUGAGUUUCU